Molecule: ribosomal RNA, 484 nt
Filed under: uncultured bacterium
Lineage: Bacteria
Description: partial 16S ribosomal RNA
Rfam family: Bacterial small subunit ribosomal RNA
Source: RNAcentral
AUUGAACGCUGGCGGCAGGCCUAACACAUGCAAGUCGAGCGGAUGAAGGGAGCUUGCUCCUGGAUUCAGCGGCGGACGGGUGAGUAAUGCCUAGGAAUCUGCCUGGUAGUGGGGGAUAACGUCCGGAAACGGGCGCUAAUACCGCAUACGUCCUGAGGGAGAAAGUGGGGGAUCUUCGGACCUCACGCUAUCAGAUGAGCCUAGGUCGGAUUAGCUAGUUGGUGGGGUAAAGGCCUACCAAGGCGACGAUCCGUAACUGGUCUGAGAGGAUGAUCAGUCACACUGGAACUGAGACACGGUCCAGACUCCUACGGGAGGCAGCAGUGGGGAAUAGUGGGCAAUGGGCGAAAGCCUGAUCCAGCCAUGCCGCGUGUGUGAAGAAGGUCUUCGGAUUGUAAAGCACUUUAAGUUGGGAGGAAGGGCAGUAAGUUAAUACCUUGCUGUUUUGACGUUACCAACAGAAUAAGCACCGGCUAACUUCGUG